Non-coding RNA from Cerioporus squamosus, 106 nucleotides. NCBI's taxonomy places the organism in Eukaryota, Fungi, Basidiomycota, Agaricomycetes, Polyporales, Polyporaceae. The record is from the annotation of a GenBank genome assembly.
GGCCUGGUGGUCUAGUAGUAUGAUUUCUUCUUAGGGUUGUUCUGGGUGUUCUACCUGGUGCUUGACCGCUUGGAGGAGGUCCCGGGUUCAAUUCCCGGCCAGGCCC